Molecule: long non-coding RNA, 618 nt
Organism: Nyctereutes procyonoides (raccoon dog)
Lineage: Eukaryota; Metazoa; Chordata; Mammalia; Carnivora; Canidae
Exons: 3
Source: RefSeq, a predicted model, not a curated record
ACCACUGCACGGGGCUGCUCAGUCCUCGCUAAAGGGUGAAGUCAACUUCACCUUCUCCAUGUCUCACAUGAUGACCAGGCUGCAGCUUGCUGCCUAUUCCAGGCUCACUGGAAAGCUAUGAAGCAAAGAACAGACCGGACAGAGAGAGUCAACUAGGUGCGAAUGUGCCUUUACCAGGUGCUCACCUCCCAUUUAAUAAGGAAGUUCUUUGCGAAGAAGCAGUUGAAACCUCAGGGGGUGAAAAUCUGAUCCAAAAAACAAGACGAGUGAACUACCGAGUCCAGAGCGAACACCAGGAACCAGGAAGCCUGAAGCAGAAUGUCCCAUGCAGACCUAAGUGGGAACAUUACAAGCCAAACCUGGGAGUUGCAAGAAGCGGGAGGGGACAGCCAUCCAGAACAUUCUGGAAUCACAAUCUGAGGAGCAGAGGGGAGCUGUGUGUGAAGCCAGCAGUGGCCAGCAGAGGAAAUGCAGGGUCUGGCUGCAGGCCAUUCGUACCCUAGCUCCCACCAUCAGGAUCUCCGGCCCCAUCCUGACCCCUGGUGGCUGCCCAAGGAUGAGGCGGGCACUCUUCCCCAGCUCCACCCUGCCUGGUCCCAGAAUAACAGGAAAAAUGAU